Non-coding RNA from Vicia faba (fava bean), 216 nucleotides. Lineage: Eukaryota; Viridiplantae; Streptophyta; Magnoliopsida; Fabales; Fabaceae. The record is from the annotation of a GenBank genome assembly.
AUGUUGAUAGAUAGUAACAAUAUGGUUAACAGUGUCAGGCAUGAAGGAACGAGAGCAAAAAUCACAACAAGAAAUCAAAAAACCUGGUUACAGAGCAAAAGAACGAGGACAGGAGUCGCUAGCGUUUCGGGUCGGGUUGGCGAAGCCCCGUGUUUGUUUUGCAUACAAGCUCCGUCAAACCUACUUUUAUUUAUUAAAAGCUUCCUCGUUGUUUGA